AUUGAACGCUGGCGGUAUGCUUAACACAUGCAAGUCGAACGGUAGCAGGCCUUCGGGCGCUGACGAGUGGCGGACGGGUGAGUAAUGCAUAGGAAUCUGCCUAUUAGUGGGGGACAACGUGGGGAAACUCACGCUAAUACCGCAUACGCCCUACGGGGGAAAGCUUGGGGACCUUCGGGCCUGGCGCUAAUAGAUGAGCCUAUGUCGGAUUAGCUAGUUGGUGGGGUAAAGGCCUACCAAGGCGACGAUCCGUAGCUGGUCUGAGAGGAUGAUCAGCCACACUGGGACUGAGACACGGCCCAGACUCCUACGGGAGGCAGCAGUGGGGAAUAUUGGACAAUGGGCGAAAGCCUGAUCCAGCANUACCGGCGUGUNUUGAAGAAGGCCUUGAGGGGUUGUAAAGCACUUUCAAUAGGAAGGAAUACCUAUCGGUUAAUACCCGGUAGACUGACAUUACCUAUACAAGAAGCACCGGCUAACUCCGUGCCCAGCAGCCGCGGUAAUACGGAGGGUGCANGCGUUAAUCGGAAUUACUGGGCGUAAAGCGUGCGUAGGCGGUUGUUUAAGUCAGAUGUGAAAGCCCUGGGCUUAACCUGGGAACUGCAUUUGAUACUGGGCAACUAGAGUUUAGUAGAGGGGAGUGGAAUUUCAGGUGUAGCGGUGAAAUGCGUAGAGAUCUGAAGGAACACCAGUGGCGAAGGCGGCUCCCUGGACUAAAACUGACGCUGAGGUACGAAAGCGUGGGUAGCAAACAGGAUUAGAUACCCUGGUAGUCCACGCCGUAAACGAUGUCAACUAACUGUUGGGUUCUUAAAGAACUUAGUAGUGGAGCUAACGUAUUAAGUUGACCGCCUGGGGAGUACGNCCGCAAGGCUAAAACUCAAAUGAAUUGACGGGGGCCCGCACAAGCGGUGGAGCAUGUGGUUUAAUUCGAUGCAACGCGAAGAACCUUACCUACCCUUGACAUCCAGAGAAUCUGUUAGAGAUAGCGGAGUGCCUUCGGGAACUCUGAGACAGGUGCUGCAUGGCUGUCGUCAGCUCGUGUUGUGAAAUGUUGGGUUAAGUCCCGUAACGAGCGCAACCCUUAUCCUUAGUUGCCAGCGGGUCAUGCCGGGAACUCUAGGGAGACUGCCGGUGAUAAACCGGAGGAAGGUGGGGACGACGUCAAGUCAUCAUGGCCCUUAUGGGUAGGGCUACACACGUGCUACAAUGGCCGGUACAGAGGGCUGCGAACUCGCGAGAGUAAGCGAAUCNCAAAAAGCCGGUCCCAGUCCGGAUCGCAGUCUGCAACUCGACUGCGUGAAGUCGGAAUCGCUAGUAAUCGCGGAUCAGAAUGCCGCGG
RNAcentral lists this ribosomal RNA (1342 nucleotides) under Methylomonas sp. Its description in RNAcentral is "bacterial SSU rRNA". It matches the Rfam family "Bacterial small subunit ribosomal RNA", at positions 28 to 1362 of the family's 1533-position model. Lineage: Bacteria; Pseudomonadati; Pseudomonadota; Gammaproteobacteria; Methylococcales; Methylococcaceae. The record is from RNAcentral.